Molecule: ribosomal RNA, 584 nt
Filed under: uncultured bacterium
Lineage: Bacteria
Description: bacterial SSU rRNA
Rfam family: Bacterial small subunit ribosomal RNA
Source: RNAcentral
ACGGGUGAGUAAUACAUCGGAACGUGCCCAAUCGUGGGGGAUAACGCAGCGAAAGCUGUGCUAAUACCGCAUACGAUCUACGGAUGAAAGCAGGGGAUCGCAAGACCUUGCGCGAAUGGAGCGGCCGAUGGCAGAUUAGGUAGUUGGUGGGGUAAAGGCUCACCAAGCCUUCGAUCUGUAGCUGGUCUGAGAGGACGACCAGCCACACUGGGACUGAGACACGGCCCAGACUCCUACGGGAGGCAGCAGUGGGGAAUUUUGGACAAUGGGCGCAAGCCUGAUCCAGCCAUGCCGCGUGCAGGAUGAAGGCCUUCGGGUUGUAAACUGCUUUUGUACGGAACGAAACGGCCUUUUCUAAUAAAGAGGGCUAACGACGGUACCGUAAGAAUAAGCACCGGCUAACUACGUGCCAGCAGCCGCGGUAAUACGUAGGGUGCAAGCGUUAAUCGGAAUUACUGGGCGUAAAGCGUGCGCAGGCGGUUAUGUAAGACAGUUGUGAAAUCCCCGGGCUCAACCUGGGAACUGCAUCUGUGACUGCAUAGCUAGAGUACGGUAGAGGGGGAUGGAAUUCCGCGUGUAGCAGU